GCGGCUCUACCCCAACAGGCAGAGGGGCCAGUUUCAGGAACUGGAUGUUCCGGGUUCGAAUCCCGGGAGCCGCACCA
RNAcentral lists this transfer RNA (77 nucleotides) under Actinomadura macrotermitis. RNAcentral's name for it is "Actinomadura sp. RB68 tRNA-Leu". It matches the Rfam family "tRNA". Rfam says of the family: Transfer RNA (tRNA) molecules are approximately 80 nucleotides in length. Their secondary structure includes four short double-helical elements and three loops (D, anti-codon, and T loops). Lineage: Bacteria; Bacillati; Actinomycetota; Actinomycetes; Streptosporangiales; Thermomonosporaceae. The record is from RNAcentral.